CAACAACGAAAACAACGUUGUACCAACUGCUGGCAGUGCAACCAAAUGGCCCCACUUCAUACGCUGCCAAUACUGAACGCAGAGGGAUGUGGAGGCAGAAAGCAGGGAUUUGUGCAGAUGGGGAGAUGGGAAAUAACGGCCCCAUCUUAUUAAGAAGCAGGCAAAAUGAAUCAGGAGACAAGGAGGGCAUGCAGCUGUCUCUGAAGAGUGGCCAAAGUGGAGCAAACGCAGACGUGGGACAACCCUGGGAAGAGCAGCACUCAUCUGCAUGCCAGCCUCC
This is a long non-coding RNA of Gallus gallus (chicken), 280 nucleotides long. RefSeq lists it as uncharacterized. The transcript is spliced from 2 exons. NCBI's taxonomy places the organism in Eukaryota, Metazoa, Chordata, Aves, Galliformes, Phasianidae. The record is from RefSeq and is a predicted model, not a curated record.